UUGCGACCACACGCUCCGCCUCUCAGUCAAUCCAGACAAAUUCUAUGACUUGUCCUGAAGCUUUUAAGCUGUAAUUGAGCACAGGAUGCCCAGGAAAACCAAAGGCAGCUCUGCACAGACCUGCGUUUUUAUAGCUGCUAUAGUAUUCUGGUGCACUUUUUUUUCUCCCUGGCCAGACAGACACCACAAAACAGGCCAAGCGUGUUAGGAAGUCGCCACCUACACGGACUCAAAGUCAGCAGCUGAGGAUUUCCACCCACAUAAAAAUAUAUCAUGUCUAGAGUAAUAAGGUGACAAAUAUGCGGGAUAGCAAUGGCGACGACAGAGGCGGACCACACAGAGGCCAUGAAGGGAAACUGAGCAACUCCACGGUCAACGGGAGAGGAUCUGACUUACCGGUUGAUGAUGACGGUACUCACGAUGAUGGGCUUGCCUGAAGAGGGAAUCCUCGUUACAAGGCGUCAGCAGGAGCAGGCCUGCAUAGGCCUGCAUGGCAAAAAGGACAUAAACUGGAUUUCAGUGGGAGAUUAUAUGACAUUUGACAAAGAAAAAGUACAAAGGUAAAGAAAGAGACGGAAAUGUAAGUGUAAUGGAAGGGUUUCAAUUUAAUUGGAAAAAAGGAACCCAAAAUGUACAAACUGGCUAUUGCGUCAAGCAAUCCUCGUGUUUGUUGCGGAUUUUCUAUUGAUUGGUUGAACAAAAAUCACAUUCAGAGUUUUAGAAAUGUAAUGUCUAAUUCCACUCCUCCAUUUUGUGCGCAUGCUAAAAAAACACUUUACUAAUCUGAAUAAAGACAAAAAGAUGGCGAAUAGGCGAAUUUGUAUUAUUUUCCUUGGAUUAUUUCAUUUUGAAAUAAUUGUUUAAACGGUCUAAAGGCUAAGACAUAAAUAUAUAUAUUCAGCAUCUGCAGUUGACUAACUAUUUGAUCUCCCGCGAUAUAAAAUAAAAAUAUUUAACAGCUGGUAAACUGGCAUUUGGGAGAAACCAUCAUAAGUCAAAGAAACCCUUCGCUUGUAGGCUUUGUAUCUAAGUAUGAUUUUUCUGAUAUUUUUGCUAUAUGACAUUACAUUUUUUAAUAUCCCGAAACAGGUUGUUUUUCAGAAUUUUCCGAACGGUUACGCAGAAAAUUGUCUGCGUCAAAUAGAUCAUUUAGAUUAAACAUAAUAUGACUCUUAAACAGGAUUAUUCGAUUAAAUGGACGAAUUUAAGUAACACAUCACUACUGAACUACAUUUGUAACGUUUACAUUCUUAUUAAAUAAUGCACAGUAGAAUAUUAUUUAGCCACGUGUUUCGCAUCGUUUAUUACCCAACCUCAAUUCAUCUUGCUGAAUGAACUGGAUAUUAGAAAUACUUUAUUCAUCACAAAUUGGGAAAUUGUUUAUUGUAACUUCAUUCUAAGAUCUUAACUGAAGAUGGCGAUCAUUUAUAUGGGUGGCCACAAUGUUUCUACUAUCUCUUUAAAAUAAAACCAGAUAGAUUCAAUAGUUGAAUAAUUAUUUUAAGUUAGAAAAACAACCAAACAUGAGAAAUUAAUGACCGUAGCCCCUAUCCACUUCGAUUGCAGCAUUGUCUAAGCAUGAUACGGAUUUAAAGGAUUUCAUUUAGAGAUGUCUAAAACGUUUUCCUAGACACAUAUAUGUCUACCAUGUCGUCUUUUGUAAAUAGUAUUCGAAAAAUAAACAAAUAUUCAAUAUAAACAUGUUUUCUGCAACUCAACCGGACUCAUAUCUUCUAGAAAUGUAUGUUUGUUCUCGGAUGUAAAUAAACGUACGAUACAUUUGAUCUUGAA
This is a long non-coding RNA of Gymnodraco acuticeps, 1791 nucleotides long. RefSeq lists it as uncharacterized. The transcript is spliced from 2 exons. NCBI's taxonomy places the organism in Eukaryota, Metazoa, Chordata, Actinopteri, Perciformes, Bathydraconidae. The record is from RefSeq and is a predicted model, not a curated record.